UUCAAAUCCCACCACUACCUCAUCCUAGCUUUGCAAUCUUGGCGAGUGACUUUAACUGCUCUGUGCCUCAGUCAUCUCAGCUGUAAUAUAGGUAUUAUGAUAGUGUAUGGCAUAAAGGUGAGGAUUAAAUGAAUUAAGAUACAAAAAAGCACUUAGAACAGUAACUGACAGAAACUAAGUUCUCAAUGAAUGUUAGCUAUUGUUAUGAGGAUGACGACUUUUGAACAGAGUUUGAGAGAACCUUCCUAGAGGAUAUGGAAGGUCUGUUUUCUUAUUCCAUAUAUGAAAGAGUUGUAGGAGGUAUUAACGGAUUAGUCAUAGCAUCAGCUGCAAGGAAAACAGACUCUAAAUCUUAAUUUAGCUACACAAGGUAUUUAAUAGUUUCCACAUUAUUUGCAACAGAGCAAUGUAUCUUAUGGUUUAAAGGACAAUAUAUUAACUUUAACAAAUCUCAUGUUAAACAUAUUUUUUCUAGGAAGAAACACUAAAAACAACUCGCUACAUGCAAACUGAUGGAAGAUUUUAUUGGCAAACCAACCCCCACACUACUCACGGGACCCAUUGUAAUUCUGAGAAGCAGCCUGGCUGCUCUGUCCACUGAGGAUUAGCUCACCACUCUGGCCACUCCCUCCAUUGUCUAUUCUCCCCACAGAGCUCCCCCUAGCACAGCAGCUCAGAUCAUCAUCCUUCCUCUGCUGAGAAAGGCACACAUGACGCCUGCCUCAUACCAGCCGCUUCAAGGGAUGUCCUGAGAAGAAAGCAUCUAGAGUAUGGCAUUCAAGAGGCUUACAGGCUAGAAAGAGCUUGCAUGUUUCCAGUUCUUACUUCCAUCUUGAGUGAAGAAACCAUUUUAUUUCAGAGACUGGCAGUCGUUUAACUCUCAAGAGUGUUAAUAUCUCACAAAUGUAAAGCACUCUACAGUGCGCAAAGGACGCCACCUGGGUUAAAUGCUAGGAGGCAGAGCAAAGGGGUG
Equus caballus (horse) is the source of this 973-nucleotide non-coding RNA. NCBI's taxonomy places the organism in Eukaryota, Metazoa, Chordata, Mammalia, Perissodactyla, Equidae. The record is from RefSeq and is a predicted model, not a curated record.